This 257-nucleotide ribosomal RNA is filed under the name uncultured bacterium. Its description in RNAcentral is "partial 16S ribosomal RNA". It matches the Rfam family "Bacterial small subunit ribosomal RNA", at positions 524 to 776 of the family's 1533-position model. The record is from RNAcentral.
UACGUAGGGUGCGAGCGUUUAAUCGGAAUUACUGGGCGUAAAGCGUGCGCAGGCGGUUAUUUAAGUCAGGUGUGAAAGCCCUGGGCUUAACCUAGGAAUUGCGCUUGAGACUGGAUAGCUUUGGAGUGCGGCAGAGGGAGGUGGAAUUCCACGUGUAGCAGUGAAAAUGCGUAGAGAUGUGGAGGAACACCGAUGGCGAAGGCAGCCUCCUGGGCCAGCACUGACGCUCAUGCACGAAAGCGUGGGGAGCAAACAGG